RNAcentral lists this ribosomal RNA (508 nucleotides) under uncultured bacterium. Its description in RNAcentral is "partial 16S ribosomal RNA". It matches the Rfam family "Bacterial small subunit ribosomal RNA", at positions 28 to 507 of the family's 1533-position model. The record is from RNAcentral.
GACGAACGCUGGCGGCGUGCUUAACACAUGCAAGUCGAACGGGCCUUGUCCCCUUUUUUUUUGGGGGUGGGGUUAGUGGCGAACGGGUGAGUAACACGUGAGUAACCUGCCCCUCACUUCUGGAUAACCGCUUGAAAGGGUGGCUAAUACGGGGUGUUCUGGCCUGCUCGCAUGGGUGGGUUUGGAAAGAUUCGACCGGUUUUGGUUGUUUUGGUGGGGGAUGGGCUCGCGGCCUAUCAGCUUGUUGGUGGGGUGAUGGCCUGCCAAGGCUUUGACGGGUAGCCGGCCUGAGAGGGUGGGCGGUCACACUGGGACUGAGACACGGCCCAGACUCCGACGGGAGGCAGCAGUGGGGAAUAUUGCACAAUGGGCGCAAGCCUGAUGCAGCGACGCCGCGUGAGGGAUGGAGGCCUUCGGGUUGUGAACCUCUUUCGCCAGUGAAGAAGGUCCUGCUCUUUGUGGUGGGGUUGACGGUAGCGGGGUUAAUGAAGCGCCGGCUAACUACGUG